Molecule: long non-coding RNA, 961 nt
Filed under: Fragaria vesca (wild strawberry)
Lineage: Eukaryota; Viridiplantae; Streptophyta; Magnoliopsida; Rosales; Rosaceae
Description: long non-coding RNA (FVES_LNC002278)
Source: RNAcentral
ACUCAACAAGUUAGAGUUAUAUGAACGUUUCGAGAAAUGCUCCAUGAGUGCAUUCCACAGUACUUUGUGGUCAUUACUUUUUGCACAGGUUGCCAUUGAAGGCUUUUGUCGAUGUGGCGCUUCAAAAACUUUGAGCGCAUGAGAUGUGAAAUCUCGGCAUCUAGGCUUGUUAGCCUGGGGUCAAAACAUGUGGUUUAAUCCUUUCCAAUGAAAGGUUCCACAGAUACCAAGCGAAGAUCCGCCUUAGGCAUCUAGUACGUCAAAACUCAAAGGAGCAGAAUGUUACAUUGCUCUUGCAUACAAAACCAAGCUGUUAUGAGACUCGAUAGAGGUCACAAACGAUGCUUUUAAUGGUUUGUCCUUCGGAUUGAUCAUACAUAAUCCGAAAAAGCCGCGAAUUGAUCAAACACAAUUCGGAAAAAGGCCUCGAAUUGAUCAAACACAACCCGGACAAAGAAACAAGAGUGAUCCAACAUACUCUUGACCCGAGAAUAAAAUUUCGGGAUUUUUGGUACCUGCACACACAAAAUCCCAAGCAUAGAAUGGAGAUGGAGAAGGGAGGAAAGGAUUUUAUCCUCCCCGAGUUAUUGAACUUGGAAGAGUUUAAGGUUUCAAAACAUACCUUUCUAAAGGCUGCCAAGAGGAGAAAUAACUUUUCGCCUACUUAUACUUCGAAUUUGGGGCUGAAAAUUUGACAGGAGGAGCAGCUCUGGAUGGGGAAGCUUCUGUCAAAAUUUCAGAUUGAUCGGAGCAAAGGAAGAUGGUGAACCGGUGGUCGGUAGCGGCGGCGGUCUGGAAUUUUCCGGCGGCCGGUUCGGAGACUUUCCGGCCGGUUCUCAGGGUGAGGCCGGCGGCGUUGGAUCCGUGACGGAAAGAGCUUUCUGGGGAUAUAAAAUUCCGGCGGAGGGCAGUCGGAAUUUUUGGUCGGAAAUCGGGAAAAACAAGGCUGCCCGAUUUUNNN